Molecule: ribosomal RNA, 478 nt
Filed under: uncultured bacterium
Lineage: Bacteria
Description: bacterial SSU rRNA
Rfam family: Bacterial small subunit ribosomal RNA
Source: RNAcentral
AUUGAACGCUGGCGGCAUGCUUUACACAUGCAAGUCGAGCGGCAGCGCGGGGGGCAACCCUGGCGGCGAGCGGCGAACGGGUGAGUAAUGCAUCGGAACGUACCCUGGAGUGGGGGAUAACGCCGCGAAAGCGGCGCUAAUACCGCAUAUGCUCUGAGGAGGAAAGUGGGGGACCACAAGGCCUCACGCUCUGGGAGCGGCCGAUGUCCGAUUAGCUAGUUGGUGAGGUAAAGGCUUACCAAGGCGACGAUCGGUAGCUGGUCUGAGAGGAUGAUCAGCCACACUGGGACUGAGACACGGCCCAGACUCCUACGGGAGGCAGCAGUGGGGAAUCUUGCGCAAUGGGCGAAAGCCUGACGCAGCAACGCCGCGUGGGGGAUGAAGGCUCUCGGGUUGUAAACCCCUUUCAGCAGGGACGAAUCAAGACGGUACCUGCAGAAGAAGCCCCGGCUAACUACGUGCCAGCAGCCGCGGUAAU